AGGGACAUGGUGUCUUUAGAGUAC
This 24-nucleotide non-coding RNA is filed under the name Arabidopsis thaliana (thale cress). The record is from RNAcentral. Lineage: Eukaryota; Viridiplantae; Streptophyta; Magnoliopsida; Brassicales; Brassicaceae.